This 300-nucleotide ribosomal RNA is filed under the name uncultured Pneumocystis. RNAcentral's name for it is "LSU rRNA". It matches the Rfam family "Bacterial large subunit ribosomal RNA", at positions 819 to 1104 of the family's 2925-position model. The record is from RNAcentral. Lineage: Eukaryota; Fungi; Ascomycota; Pneumocystomycetes; Pneumocystales; Pneumocystaceae.
UGUGAAAUACAAAUCGGACUAGGUUAUAGCUGGUUUUCUGCGAAAAUUGUUUUAGCAAAUUGUUUAUUUUGUUAUUAAUGGGUAUAGCACUGAAUAUCAAAAUGAUUCUUAGAGGGAGUACUACGGUAUUUAUCUCGGAUAUUUAAUCUCAGAAUAAUUAAUAAUUUAGAUAAAUAAUCGGACUUUUUGCGAUAAGGUGGAAAGUCAAAAGGGAAACAGCCCAGAAUAGAUAUUAAAGCUCCCCAAUUAAUAUUAAGUGAAAUAAAAGAAGUGAUUAUUUUAUGACAAUCAAGAAGUGGG